GGAAGGCAACGAGCUCGCUACCCAGCUCGGCUGGCAGGGGCUGGGGCAGGCUCAGGGGCAGGGCCCCCAGCUUAUCUCUGAUGGGGGAGAAGGGGGACCUCUCUUGGGCUUCCCCCUGGACGGCCGUUAGGAUGGGGCAGGCUGUCGCCUCCUGGCUGCCCAGGUACACAGAGGCAGCAGGCAGGAGCAAGCAAAGAGCUGAAUGAAUAAACAGCUGCAUGGAGGAUCCCAUCCUGGACACCACAGACACUCAGUCAUCGCGUCUCCUUAGACUCCUCUGGCAGUCAGACUUCCCUUGUUCUGGUGACCUUGAUGGUUUGGAGGAGGACUGUCAGGAUUUUUGUAAGAUGCCCCUCUAUGGGGAUUUGUCUGAUGUUUACGUCAUGAUUGCACUGGGCGCCUUGGUCUGGGGAGGAAGACCACAGGGUGAAGUGCCCUUCUGCUCCCCUCACAUCAGGACACAGGCUCCCGACAUGACGUUUCCCUGUGAGACCAGCAUGGAUUCACGGAUGUCUGUUGAACACUGUGGGUUAUCGUCCAAUACGACAUUAUUGAUUUUCUCGCUCACGUUGUUCCCACUUUGGCCACUGGGAGCUCUUUCAGUUGGUUCCUGUGACAAAACAGUUUCAAUUAACCAAGUAAUUAUUAGAUGUAGGAGAGGAAGACGGAGGAAAAAGGAGGUCUCUGGCUGGCGACUAUGUUAUACACAUGAGCAUGUGCACUCACAUCCAAGCCCAGCGUCUCCCAGGGAAAUGAGGACGAGAGCUGGCCCGGGCUGGCUCACAGUAGCCUCAGGACAAGGUCUGUGGGGAGCAGGGGAAUCUGUACCCCUGGACCAGCCCCUCGGGACUGAAGCUGCUGCUUUAGGGCACCCUCCUGGCUCCCACGGGCUGCCCUCUGGAGCGGAGGCCACCUGAGGCGCCCAGAGGAGAUGGACAUUGCCAGGUGCUGCUUCUCUCACCAAAGUCGGAGAAAGACACUCCUGAAGUGAGGUGCACAGCGGGGAGCGGCUCGUCCUGGUACAGAGAAGGUCGAGAUGGCCAGCCUCACAGCCCACGCCCUGGCGCACCCGGAUCCGGCACUUCCUGUCCUGCCGCCCCCCUCGGGUGACGCCUGAGCCCCAGCCUGGGCCACGCCUGGGCCGCACCUGGAGUAACAGUGCAGGCCCAUGGCAUUGGGAAUCCCCUCGUGCCUCUGGAGACCCCGGGAAGGAAUUCUUGGGAGUCAGGGGGGCCACCCGAAGGGGCUGGGACAGACAAGGGGUCCUGACUGCCCCUCACUCUUGUCAGAGGGGCAGAGAAGGCAGCUGAGCCCCAUUCUGCUGGUUUCUAGAAGACCAAGCUGUGAUGAAGACCAAGCUGCCUGAAGCUGUGUGGGGCACAUCUCCUCCCCUGCUGAGGUCCCCGAGUGUCCAGGAGGACCUCACAUUACGAGAUGUCAGAGGGGAACAAUUCUAGCAUGAGAGCUGAGCCUGCUGCCCUGGCGGACCACAGCAGCCGUCCCCACGGUUCAAACCGGCCCAGACCAGACCCAGAUGGGUGGUCUCACCACCUGUCCCGUCCAGGUUCGAGUUGUGACAAAGUCUUCUUGGAGGCCAACAUGGGUAUGAGUGAAGGCCCCAGCCCUGCUCGUGCCCUCAAGACAGCUCCACUCCAAAUUACUCAUCUGUGCCACUGAGGCAUCAAAACUCGAAUUACCUUUUCAAAAUUUUGUUGUCACAGGACGCUUCAAAUGGCAUUUCAUAAAACCAUGCUUCAAUAAUGAUGUUCAGGUUAGACCCUGCCUCCCAAAUUCCUUCAAGGAUCACGGCCUCGGGCAGGACUCACCAGUGGUCCAGCCUCUGCUUGCACACUCCUGAGACAGGGAGCUCACCCCCUACCCAGGCACCCUCUUCUACUCACCCACGUCUUCCCACCUCCUCCCAGGGUAUCCACUGCGGCCACACCAAGAACAGGGCCACACCCUCUGGGAGACCCCUCAGACAUAUGUCUUGGGCCAGGGCUGGGGGCAGCAGGCGUGGCAGGAGCUGGCCUUGAUGUCCCCUCCCCUUCCUGCCUGCCCUUCUUCCGGAACCCCCAGCGGCUCAGUUCUCUGGGUGUGUUGACAGACAGACAGGCGGACGCAGCUCCCUCCUGGGCGUGCAGUGCGGUCUGAGGCCCCCACCCAGCUGGAAACCACAGUGGGAG
RNAcentral lists this long non-coding RNA (2186 nucleotides) under Equus caballus (horse). RNAcentral describes it as "lncRNA (ENSECAG00000060173.1)". Lineage: Eukaryota; Metazoa; Chordata; Mammalia; Perissodactyla; Equidae. The record is from RNAcentral.